This 1216-nucleotide ribosomal RNA is filed under the name Crocodillicola pseudostoma. RNAcentral's name for it is "SSU rRNA". It matches the Rfam family "Eukaryotic small subunit ribosomal RNA", at positions 636 to 1757 of the family's 1831-position model. Lineage: Eukaryota; Metazoa; Platyhelminthes; Trematoda; Strigeidida; Protrodiplostomatidae. The record is from RNAcentral.
UUCUGAUUUCGGUCAGUUCCGAGUGAUGGUAAAGUGGUCGUGCAGCCUUUCAGCCGUGUCUGCGUAAGCAGGUGUUGGCUGGUCGGUGAGCUUGCUCGCUGGCUAGUUGACAUGUUUCCUGAUGCCUUUAAACGGGUGUCGGGGGCGUACGGCACUUUUACUUUGAACAAAUUUGAGUGCUCAAAGCAGGCCCAUGUGCCUGAAAAGUCUUGCAUGGAAUAAUGGAAUAGGACUUCGGUUCUAUUUUGUUGGUUUCCGGAUCCGAAGUAAUGGUUAAGAGGAACAGACGGGGGCAUUUGUAUGGCGGCGUGAGAGGUGAAAUUCUAUGAUCGUCGCCAGACAAACUACAGCGAAAGCAUUUGCCAAGAAUGUUUUCAUUGAUCAGGAGCGAAAGUCAGAGGUUCGAAGACGAUCAGAUACCGUCCUAGUUCUGACCAUAAACGAUGCCAACUGACGAUCCGCGGCGGUUCUUUAAUUGGCCCCGCGGGCAGUCCCCGGGAAACCCUUAAGUCUUUGGGCUCCGGGGGAAGUAUGGUUGCAAAGCUGAAACUUAAAGGAAUUGACGGAAGGGCACCACCAGGAGUGGAGCCUGCGGCUUAAUUCGACUCAACACGGGAAAACUCACCCGGCCCGGACACUGUGAGGAUUGACAGAUUGAUAGCUCUUUCUUGAUUCGGUGGUUGGUGGUGCAUGGCCGUUCUUAGUUGGUGGAGCGAUUUGUCUGGUUAAUUCCGAUAACGAACGAGACUUUGACCUACUAAUUAGUUUGCCUAUCCUCUGUGCUCGUGCAGGUCUCGGGUUCUGCUGCCCCCUCGAGGGGUGGUGGAGUCGUGGAUCGGCGGGUACGGCGUGGUGCUUACUUCUUAGAGGGACAAGCGGCGCUGCGAGUCGCACGAAAUUGAGCAAUAACAGGUCUGUGAUGCCCUUAGAUGUCCGGGGCCGCACGUGCGCUACAAUGACGGUGCCAGCGAGCAUGGAAACCUGGCCCGAAAGGGCUGGGCAAACUUUUCAUCACCGUCGUGACUGGGAUCGGGGCUUGCAAUUAUUCCCCGUGAACGAGGAAUUCCUAGUAAGUGCAAGUCAUAAGCUUGCGCUGAUUACGUCCCUGCCCUUUGUACACACCGCCCGUCGCUACUACCGAUUGAAUGGUCAAGCUGAGGUAAUCGGAUUGGUACUGUUUUAGCGGCUCUGUCGCUUGACUGGUAUCGAGAAGAUG